RNAcentral lists this ribosomal RNA (551 nucleotides) under uncultured Paraglomus. RNAcentral's name for it is "SSU rRNA". It matches the Rfam family "Eukaryotic small subunit ribosomal RNA", at positions 548 to 1103 of the family's 1831-position model. Lineage: Eukaryota; Fungi; Glomeromycota; Glomeromycetes; Paraglomerales; Paraglomeraceae. The record is from RNAcentral.
UUGGAGGGCAAGUCUGGUGCCAGCAGCCGCGGUAAUUCCAGCUCCAAUAGCGUAUAUUAAAGUUGUUGCAGUUAAAAAGCUCGUAGUUGAAUUUCAGGCCUGGCUGGACGGUCCGCCCUUCGGGUGAGUACUGUCUGUGGUCGGGUCCUACCUUCUGGCGAAGCGUCAUGGCCUUAACCGGCCGUGGCGGGGAACCAGGACUUUUACUGUGAAAAAAUUAGAGUGUUCAAAGCAGGCAAUCGCUUGGAUACAUUAGCAUGGAAUAAUGGAAUAGGACAAUGGUUCUAUUUGUUGGUUUCUAGGACCGUUGUAAUGAUUAAUAGGGAUAGUUGGGGGCAUUAGUAUUCAACUGUCAGAGGUGAAAUUCUUGGAUUUAUUGAAGACUAACUACUGCGAAAGCAUUUGCCAAGGAUGUUUUCAUUAAUCAAGAACGAAAGUUAGGGGAUCGAAGACGAUCAGAUACCGUCGUAGUCUUAACCAUAAACUAUGCCGACUAGGAAUCGGGCGAUGUUGAAAAAAUGACGCGCUCGGCACCCUAUGGGAAACCAAAG